This 477-nucleotide ribosomal RNA is filed under the name uncultured bacterium. Its description in RNAcentral is "partial 16S ribosomal RNA". It matches the Rfam family "Bacterial small subunit ribosomal RNA", at positions 30 to 507 of the family's 1533-position model. The record is from RNAcentral.
AUUGAACGCUGGCGGCAUGCCUUACACAUGCAAGUCGAACGGUAACAGGUUAAGCUGACGAGUGGCGAACGGGUGAGUAAUGUAUCGGAACGUGCCCAGUCGUGGGGGAUAACUGCUCGAAAGAGCAGCUAAUACCGCAUACGACCUGAGGGUGAAAGCGGGGGAUCGCAAGACCUCGCGCCAUUGGAGCGGCCGAUAUCAGAUUAGGUAGUUGGUGAGGUAAAGGCUCACCAAGCCGACGAUCUGUAGCUGGUCUGAGAGGACGACCAGCCACACUGGAACUGAGACACGGCCCAGACUCCUACGGGAGGCAGCAGUGGGGAAUUUUGGACAAUGGGCGCAAGCCUGAUCCAGCCAUGCCGCGUGCGGGAAGAAGGCCUUCGGGUUGUAAACCGCUUUUGUCAGGGAAGAAAAGGUUCUGGCUAAUACCUGGGACUCAUGACGGUACCUGAAGAAUAAGCACCGGCUAACUACGUG